UGAAUACGAGACGCUAAGGCGUCGAAGUAGUGUAUGUCAUACUUCCAAGAAAAGCUUGCACUGUCAUAAAUAAAAAUGCCUGUACCAUAACCGACACAGGUGGGUAGGUAGAGUAUACUAAGGGGCGCGAGAUAACUCUCUCUAAGGAACUCGGCAAAAUAACUCCGUAACUUCGGGAGAAGGAGUGCCUUAUUCUUAAGGUUGCAAUAACAAGAUCCAAGCAACUGUUUAUCAAAAACACAGGUCUCCGCUAAGUCGCAAGACGAUGUAUGGGGGCUGACGCCUGCCCAGUGCCAGAAGGUUAAAGAAGUUGGUUAGCUUUUGCGAAGCUGAUAACUGAAGCCCUGGUGAACGGCGGCCGUAACUAUAACGGUCCUAAGGUAGCGAAAUUCCUUGUCGGGUAAGUUCCGACCCGCACGAAAGGCGUAAUGAUUUGGAUACUGUCUCGGAGAGGGGCUCGGUGAAAUAGACUUGUCUGUGAAGAUGCGGACUACCUGCACCAUGACAGAAAGACCCUAUGAAGCUUUACUGUAACUUGAAAUUGAAAUUGGACUUUAUUCGCGCAGUAUAGGUGGGAGGCGUUGAUUGUAAUCUUGCGGGAUUAUUGGAGCCAUCAGUGGGAUACCACUCUUGUAAUGUUAGAUUUCUAACUUUAUCAUUAUCUGGUCAAAGAACAGUUUCAGGCGGGCAGUUUGACUGGGGCGGUCGCCUCCUAAACGGUAACGGAGGCGUACAAAGGUUUCCUCUGAACGGUUAGAAAUCGUAUCUAGAGUGUAAAGGCAUAAGGAAGCUUGACUGUGAGACCUACAAGUCGAGCAGGGACGAAAGUCGGUCUUAGUGAUCUGACGGUGCUGAGUGGAAAGGCCGUCACUCAACGGAUAAAAGUUACUCUAAGGAUAACAGGCUGAUCUCCCCCAAGAGUUCACAUCGACGGGGAGGUUUGGCACCUCGAUGUCGGCCCAUCGCAUCCUGGGGCGGUAGUACGUCCCAAGGGUUGGGCUGUUCGCCCAUGAAAGCGGUACGCGAGCUGGGUUCAGAACGUCGUGAGACAGUUCGGUCCAUAUCCGGUGUAGGCGUUAGAAUAUUGAGAGGAGCCUUCUUUAGUACGAGAGGACCGAGAAGGACAUACCUCUGGUGUACCAGUUAUCGUGCCAACGGUAAACGCUGGGUAGCUAUGUAUGGAGUGGAUAACCGCUGAAAGCAUCUAAGUGGGAAGCCCACCUCAAGAUAAG
Molecule: ribosomal RNA, 1232 nt
Filed under: metagenome
Description: bacterial LSU rRNA
Rfam family: Bacterial large subunit ribosomal RNA
Source: RNAcentral